Molecule: ribosomal RNA, 975 nt
Filed under: Escherichia coli
Lineage: Bacteria; Pseudomonadati; Pseudomonadota; Gammaproteobacteria; Enterobacterales; Enterobacteriaceae
Description: partial 23S ribosomal RNA
Rfam family: Bacterial large subunit ribosomal RNA
Source: RNAcentral
UGUAUAAUGGGUCAGCGACUUAUAUUCUGUAGCAAGGUUAACCGAAUAGGGGAGCCGAAGGGAAACCGAGUCUUAACUGGGCGUUAAGUUGCAGGGUAUAGACCCGAAACCCGGUGAUCUAGCCAUGGGCAGGUUGAAGGUUGGGUAACACUAACUGGAGGACCGAACCGACUAAUGUUGAAAAAUUAGCGGAUGACUUGUGGCUGGGGGUGAAAGGCCAAUCAAACCGGGAGAUAGCUGGUUCUCCCCGAAAGCUAUUUAGGUAGCGCCUCGUGAAUUCAUCUCCGGGGGUAGAGCACUGUUUCGGCAAGGGGGUCAUCCCGACUUACCAACCCGAUGCAAACUGCGAAUACCGGAGAAUGUUAUCACGGGAGACACACGGCGGGUGCUAACGUCCGUCGUGAAGAGGGAAACAACCCAGACCGCCAGCUAAGGUCCCAAAGUCAUGGUUAAGUGGGAAACGAUGUGGGAAGGCCCAGACAGCCAGGAUGUUGGCUUAGAAGCAGCCAUCAUUUAAAGAAAGCGUAAUAGCUCACUGGUCGAGUCGGCCUGCGCGGAAGAUGUAACGGGGCUAAACCAUGCACCGAAGCUGCGGCAGCGACACUAUGUGUUGUUGGGUAGGGGAGCGUUCUGUAAGCCUGUGAAGGUGGCCUGUGAGGGUUGCUGGAGGUAUCAGAAGUGCGAAUGCUGACAUAAGUAACGAUAAAGCGGGUGAAAAGCCCGCUCGCCGGAAGACCAAGGGUUCCUGUCCAACGUUAAUCGGGGCAGGGUGAGUCGACCCCUAAGGCGAGGCCGAAAGGCGUAGUCGAUGGGAAACAGGUUAAUAUUCCUGUACUUGGUGUUACUGCGAAGGGGGGACGGAGAAGGCUAUGUUGGCCGGGCGACGGUUGUCCCGGUUUAAGCGUGUAGGCUGGUUUUCCAGGCAAAUCCGGAAAAUCAAGGCUGAGGCGUGAUGACGAGGCACUACGGUGCUGA